CCUACGGGAGGCAGCAGUAGGGAAUAUUGCUCAAUGGGCGAAACUCUGAACCAGCAAUGCCGCGUGGAGGAUGACGGUUUUCGGAUUGUUAACUCCCUUUUUUAGAGAAGUUAAUGACGAUAUCUAACUAAUAAUCACCGUCUAACUCCGUGCCAGCUGCCGCGGUAAUACGGAGGGUGCAAGCGUUACUCGGAAUCACUGGGCGUAAAGAGCGCGUAGGCGGGUUAGUAAGUUAGAUGUGAAAUCUCAGAGCUUAACUAUAGAACUGCAUUUAAAACUGUUGAUCUAGCGAGUGGAUGAGGUAGGUGGAAUGUAUGGUGUAGGGGUAAAAUGCGUAGAGAUCAAACAGAAUACUCAUUGCGAAGGCAGCCUACUAAACCAUAGCUGACGCUGAGGCGCGAAAGCGUGGGGAGCAAACAGGAUUAGAUACCCCGGUAGUC
RNAcentral lists this ribosomal RNA (440 nucleotides) under uncultured bacterium. Its description in RNAcentral is "partial 16S ribosomal RNA". It matches the Rfam family "Bacterial small subunit ribosomal RNA", at positions 338 to 795 of the family's 1533-position model. The record is from RNAcentral.